This 253-nucleotide ribosomal RNA is filed under the name uncultured bacterium. RNAcentral's name for it is "partial 16S ribosomal RNA". It matches the Rfam family "Bacterial small subunit ribosomal RNA", at positions 524 to 776 of the family's 1533-position model. The record is from RNAcentral.
UACGGAGGGGGCUAGCGUUGUUCGGAAUUACUGGGCGUAAAGCGCGCGUAGGCGGACCUGCAAGUCGGGGGUGAAAGCCCUGGGCUCAACCCAGGAAGUGCAUUCGAUACUGCGCAGCUCGAGUCCCGGAGAGGGUGGUGGAAUUCUCGGUGUAGAGGUGAAAUUCGUAGAUAUCGAGAGGAACACCUGUGGCGAAGGCGGCCACCUGGACGGCGACUGACGCUGAGACGCGAAAGCGUGGGGAGCAAACAGG